CUCCCUCCGUGCUGUUCUGCGUAAGCCACAGCAGCAGCUCGGUGUCUGCCCAGGGCAGUGUUAUGGGCUCGGCUCUUAUGUAGGUGAAGCUGGGAACGCUGUGAGGAUCAUGUGGAGCUCUCAGUCUCCUGAGCCUGGAGCUUUGAGCCUAUUUAUAGGUUUUCUGUGACUGUUCCGUGUCCUGCUGCUGCUGCUGCCAAUGUGGAUGCGAAUGCUGUGGCUACAAAGGCUUCUUACUGUCUCAUGCUGGGUCCCUCAAAUCCAAGAGCUACUUGGCAGUUUCCAAGGCAACCACCUGUGGAAUAAUUAAAAAGGAUGGAGUGUUAGCGUGCCAGAUAUAAGGAAUUCUUGCCUGGAGAGAGCGUUUCACUUUCGUCUUGAAGAAUCAAACGUGCUUCUGCCAGCAAAGUUAAGAAAAAGAAACGGUGGCUGAGUUACACAAGUGAACCAGGACGACAUAAAAUGUGUCCCUGUUCUUCUGAGAAGGUCCCCAGGCUUGGAUGGCAGUAAAGGAGACAAACCCUGAAGAGAGGAGAAGAUAAUGGGUGAGAUACCACAUCAAGAAAAAAGAAAGUCUACGCAGCCCAGAAUCAACACUUAAAUCUGUGUGGAAAGCCUUGUUGGAGUGCAAAAUGGAUUUAGAUUUUCAAAAUGAAAGAAUGGUGCUGAUCUCAAGAGGGCAUCUUGCAUAUGCCAGAGGAAGAACAUCUUGUUUGAGGGAAAACCUGCCUAUAAAUCUGUGCAAAUUGAAAGAACAACACAGAGAAGAGUAAUUCAAACAGCUCUGGGGUUUUCUUCUUCCAGAUUCUGAGGACAAACCUGCUGAAACUCAUCUCAACUCCUCAUGACAGCUGAGCAAGAGAGAUGGGAUUUGAUGCUAUCCAAAGAGUAAUUCCACAGUUCAUGUCUUUUGCUGGUGCCAGCUUAAUCAGUUUCUGCCCACUCCCAGCCAUCCAUUUCCAGCUCAGCAGCAAUGCAGUGCUCUUCCCUGACUGUGUGGAAAACCAGAUGACUGAAAAUAACUCGGUCAAGAAAAGAAACGCUUCGUUUUUUUGUUCUUUGUAUUAGAAUCAUUUGAAUGAAUUUCAUGGCCCACAGGCAGUCGUAUUGGUGCUGCUGAAGGUGACAAGAAGUGCAGCAUCAGAGGCAGCAGUGAGCACUGGAGGGUGUCCCAGUGCUGUGUGAUCUUGCUGUCAACAAAAAUCUGCUCUGGGACCAUAUCCUGAAUGAAGGGCUUUGACUAGCCACAGGAUUAUUUAUUGAACUGCUGCUUUUAAUUUAUUUUAUUAAGGAAGAUUAACAUCUUCUUGUUAGGGCAGGUUUGUUGUUUUUUUUUAACUUGAGGAGAUAAACUAUCUCUGUGAGAAGUCAGUCAGCUUUGUGGACAGCCAUGAAUGUCAAUAAAGUCUUGGCAAACACAGUAGGUAUUUAUUCAGCCUUGCAAAUUAAAAACAUUUUUCCUGCUUGUUUAGUGAAGAGAACAAAAAAAAGACAAAUUACAGAGCGGAUGAGCUCUCUUGAUAGUUGGAAUUCAUUAAGCUGGUGGUGAAAACGCUGGGGGAUUGAUGGUGCAGAAAAAGAAAAGAUGAAGCAGCUUUUCCCCAAUAGCUGUGGUUUAAGUUCAAGUUGAAAAUGACCAAAAAAAAAAAAAUCCCUUAAAGACAUCUGUAACCGACUUCACAAUCCCAAUUUCUAUCUGGGUAGACAGUUCUUUCUCACUGCAGUUAGUAUUAAUUGGUUUUUCAGUUGACAGAUAAUUUCUCAGUGGCUCCUCCAUCUCCAUCAUGCCAUGGGGUGUCUGCAGCAACUCAUAAAUGAGAUCCAUGACCAGACAUUUAAGUGGGAAGUUCACACAGUCCCUUCCCAUGGUACAGACAGAGCCUUUCUGCAGACUUGUCACUCUGUCAU
Ficedula albicollis (Collared flycatcher) is the source of this 1908-nucleotide long non-coding RNA. RefSeq lists it as uncharacterized. The transcript is spliced from 8 exons. Lineage: Eukaryota; Metazoa; Chordata; Aves; Passeriformes; Muscicapidae. The record is from RefSeq and is a predicted model, not a curated record.